Molecule: ribosomal RNA, 182 nt
Filed under: uncultured bacterium
Lineage: Bacteria
Description: partial 16S ribosomal RNA
Rfam family: Bacterial small subunit ribosomal RNA
Source: RNAcentral
CGUGAAGUUGGAAUUGCUAGUAAUCGCGGAUCAGCAUGCCGCGGUGAAUACGUUCCCGGGCCUUGUACACACCGCCCGUCAAACCAUGGAAGUCGAUAAUGCCCGAAGUCAGUAGCCUAACCGCAAGGGGGGCGCUGCCGAAGGCAGGAUUGAUGACUGGGGUUAAGUCGUAACAAGGUACC